CAGCACACAGUGCUGUGCCUGUUGGAUCUGCAGAAGGCAGGAACCACGCCCAGGAGGCAGGAGCCUUGGGGCUUGGCACACACACAUCCGCCUGAGAAGUCGGUCACAGAAACCCACUCCUAGCCCUCUCAGGAGGCCGUCUCCACACGGCACCUACGCUCCUGCAGGCUGCACCCAUGGCUGAUCCAGCGCCCCAUCGAGGAAUCCAGGCUGGUGGUCCUGCGCUACUGCUCUGUUUUACACUGGAGGAAACUGUGAGCUCAGAGUAUUAAGUGUAGCCGAAGUCUAGAUAAUGGGUACCCCUCCAGAUUAACAACACUUCCAGAUGAUGUAUGCCCUCUCCACUUCAUUAUCUCUGGGAGCCUCAGCCCUCGUAAGCUCGGACACACGCUGCUGUCAACAGGCCACACCUCAUCUCGGCCGGGCGCCAGCACACUGAGCAGGAAUGCUCCCGUGGAAUCCAGUCUGGAAACCCUCACCUGAGACUAAACACUUGUUUGCUGACAUCAUCAUCCAGAGAGAAAGAGAAUGAGCCAAAAGGAGCUCACCCACUUACCCACCCAGCCCUUCCUCACGGUUGCAGCUGGACUCUCAGGCCCAGCAUCUCCUCCACAGACUGGGCCCCCGCU
This is a long non-coding RNA of Cavia porcellus (domestic guinea pig), 629 nucleotides long. RefSeq lists it as uncharacterized. The transcript has 3 exons. NCBI's taxonomy places the organism in Eukaryota, Metazoa, Chordata, Mammalia, Rodentia, Caviidae. The record is from RefSeq and is a predicted model, not a curated record.